This is a non-coding RNA of Schistosoma curassoni, 46 nucleotides long. The record is from Rfam. NCBI's taxonomy places the organism in Eukaryota, Metazoa, Platyhelminthes, Trematoda, Strigeidida, Schistosomatidae.
ACCCAGAUGACGAAUCCCAGACAGGACGAAACGCUGCAUCUUGGAU